RNAcentral lists this long non-coding RNA (667 nucleotides) under Hordeum vulgare. RNAcentral's name for it is "long non-coding RNA (HVUL_LNC007529)". Lineage: Eukaryota; Viridiplantae; Streptophyta; Magnoliopsida; Poales; Poaceae. The record is from RNAcentral.
UUCUGUCCGGCCGUCCAUCCUUGUCAGAUGGUAAAUAAGAGGUCUAUGUGCUUGAACUUGAGGUGUUUAUUUACAUGUCUAAAUCAUAGAGUGCUCAACUGUAUCUUUUAAUUAACAUGUCCAAAUCAAAGCCUUGACCCAUUCUUGUCUGGAUUGCACUCAGGCUGUUAUGAUUCUUUUCAGGAAAUUAUGUACAGCUGAUUACUUGGAUUGGUCGCCAUUUCAGAGAUGAUAAGCGGGAGGGUUAGACAAUUAUGGGUUUCAAUACCUCAGGAGAGUGGCCAUUGUCACUGCCAUCUCCCUUAUAUUCUACUAUACAGACAAAAUAUUUCUUGAACCGCAAUUUUCUUAUGACAGUUUUGCCUAUAAUGUGGCUGUCCUCCCGUUACAUCCUCGGUUAGAAAUGGGGUCUAUCACCCGAGACCCUUCUUGAACAUGACAACGACGCUCCAUGAAGCCUGGCUACUGCAAUGUUGUCAUGUUCACCGCAUAUCAUCACACACUUCGUCCAGAGUUAAUUGCACAAAACCACCAUAUUGUCGCAUAGGGUUGCAGAAAACACUUUGAUACAUAUUCGUUGCAAAAAACACAGGAAGUGUGUCUAUUUUUUUUCCCAAAAAGCACUGAUCCGUCUGUUGGAGCAUUUUAAGCACGAUUAUGACAUGUA